AUAAGUGAAGGCCCGGUGAUGCCAGGCUGCAGUAACGGGUCGCCUCCUGCGCUGACCCUCUGACGCGACUUUUCUUUCGACCCUUAUCGGGGACCGUCGCGACCGUGUCUUUCCUAUCAUUCUUCGCGUUGCCCUUUCUCUCCUUUUCCGCGACUGGCCGCUGCCCCAAACACUUUCCUCUGUUUUUGUACCGCGCGAAGAAAUGGUCGAGGGUCGCUUCGGUUCCCGCGGUAAUGGCGAGGUGGUUUAUUCGGGAAACGGAGGAGCAACACGUGGUUCCGGCAGGCGACGCCGGCCGAUCGCGUCCGAAGCCGUGGUGCGUCUCGCCGUCGCGGAACAGGAAACACGUGCCGGCUUGUAGUAUGAAAAGUGACUCGCGCGGGAAACGCGAACCGCGACGCGGGGGAUGCUGCUCUUCGGAUUUAGCCUGUGCAUGUCUGGAAUUAUUCUGCUGUGUCCUUCGAUCUUUCUCAUUUUAGAGGCUUCGGGUUCUCAGUGUUGACACGGCUAACGUCACAGUGCUAGUCUAUAGUCGUAGUUGUUUAUUGCGUAGUAGCAGACGAAUAGGAUUAGGAAUUUCCUAGUAGUAGUGUCGAGUGAACAACUUUUUGCUAAUUGAUUGUAAUUGAUGAUUUCAUGCAACCAAAGAUGGCGGAGAACGUCGAAGAAGAAGGGCGAGGAGAGGGACGGCAGGAUUAAUUAUCCCCACUCCCGCUCGUCGAACAGUAGAGAGGGAAGAGACCUGGAAGAAAGAUAAGAACGAAGCGGCCACGAUACGCUACGCUCCCACCACCUCGACGAGAAGGACAGAAGGAGUUCCUGGACUCCACCUAUUCCCCUUCCGAACCUGUUGUCCUUCGACGACGAAAAGCUACGCUACCAAUAUUCUCGUGUUUACGAAAAUAGACGCUUAGAAUCGGAAGUUUAUAAUCGAUGCUGAAUCAUGGUUGCCAAGUUACCGAUCGGAAUCGUUUUAUUCGGGUAGUUUUAAGGAUUCACAAGGGAUUUACUAUUUGUAAUUUAUAUUUCAGCUCAACAGCCACAAGUAAAUUGCAUUUAUUUCUAAGAAACUUUAUGGUAGUAGUCGCAAUAACCAAAAUGGAGUGAACAUUCGAAAGUUGAGAUACUAGAAACUAAGCAAACGCGCGCGUGACUUAACACUCUCGAUUACUCUAUCGCGUGUGAGUCGAGUGAGAAGCUUCUUCGCAACGUAUCAAAGAUUCAUUCGAUUUAUUUCUCCGUAGCUUAAAGAAUCUACAGAGUCGCGUAAAAUGGUAAAACUACAAAGUAUUACACCUACUAGAAGUUUUAUAAAUUGCAGGAUUUUCUAAUAUUCUAAUAUUCUACUAUUCUAAUAUUUUAAUGUUUUCCUCAUUUGAGAUACAGGAAAACGUUGAACCAGUAAUAACCAGUUUUCGAAACUUGUCCUUUCGUUUGGUAAAACACAGCGUUGACUUGGCGAAGCAAAAACCAUAGAAUGAAUUAAUUUCUCCGUAAAAGUAUAUAUAGACCGAACGAUGAAAGCAGGGGUUCCUUUUUGCGCGCAGCCACUGUCUUUGCACACAUUUUUGUCCGUUUUUCUCUGG
Molecule: long non-coding RNA, 1586 nt
Organism: Nomia melanderi (Alkali bee)
Lineage: Eukaryota; Metazoa; Arthropoda; Insecta; Hymenoptera; Halictidae
Source: RefSeq, a predicted model, not a curated record